This 317-nucleotide ribosomal RNA is filed under the name uncultured Agaricomycetes. RNAcentral describes it as "partial large subunit ribosomal RNA". It matches the Rfam family "Eukaryotic large subunit ribosomal RNA", at positions 40 to 350 of the family's 3401-position model. The record is from RNAcentral. Lineage: Eukaryota; Fungi; Basidiomycota; Agaricomycetes.
AUAUCAAUAAGCGGAGGAAAAGAAACUAACAAGGAUUCCCUCAGUAACGGCGAGUGAAGCGGGAAGAGCUCAAAUUUGUAAUCUGGUGGCCUCAGGUCAUCCGAGUUGUAAUCUAUAGAGGUGUUUUCCGUGCUGGCUCAUGUACAAGUCCCUUGGAACAGGGCGUCAUAGAGGGUGAGAAUCCCGUCCUUGACAUGAACUACCAGUGCUCUGUGAUACACUUUCAACGAGUCGAGUUGUUUGGGAAUGCAGCUCAAAAUGGGUGGUAAAUUCCAUCUAAAGCUAAAUAUUGGCGAGAGACCGAUAGCGCACAAGUA